UACGUAGGGGGCAAGCGUUAUCCGGAUUUACUGGGUGUAAAGGGAGCGUAGACGGCAUGGCAAGCCAGAUGUGAAAUACCGGGGCUCGACCCCGGGACUGCAUUUGGAACUGUUAAGCUGGAGUGUCGGAGAGGCAGGCGGAAUUCCUAGUGUAGCGGUGAAAUGCGUAGAUAUUAGGAGGAACACCAGUGGCGAAGGCGGCCUACUGGACGGUGACUGACGCUGAGGCUCGAAAGCGUGGGGAGCAAACAGG
This 253-nucleotide ribosomal RNA is filed under the name uncultured bacterium. RNAcentral describes it as "partial 16S ribosomal RNA". It matches the Rfam family "Bacterial small subunit ribosomal RNA", at positions 524 to 776 of the family's 1533-position model. The record is from RNAcentral.